Molecule: long non-coding RNA, 1013 nt
Filed under: Cyanistes caeruleus (blue tit)
Lineage: Eukaryota; Metazoa; Chordata; Aves; Passeriformes; Paridae
Description: lncRNA (ENSCCEG00000019513.1)
Source: RNAcentral
GCAUGAACAAUAUUAUCUGUAUUAAAAACUGUUCACUCAGUCCUUGUCAUUUUACAACUUAGUUCAGUAGCUUAUAUCACAUUGAACAUUUUCUCCAACUCUGAUCAAGGUGCCAUCAUUCACAGCAGUUCACUGAAGGGGUUGUCAGCCUUUCCAUUAAAAACACUUUUUUUCAGGAGUUUAUAAUUUGACUAGGUAAAAUAAUUACACCAAGAUUGACCUGGGGCUUUAUUUUAAGCAAAAUAUCCAUAAAAAUAUACCCUACUCCCAGAACCUAAAAUCCAACAAAGAACCCAAAUAAAGAAAGGAGUUGACUUGUAUGGUACAUAUGCCAUGGCCAUUUUUAUUUAAGAAAAUGAUGUGAUUUAUCAAACAGGUAUAACACUGCUUAAAUCUUUAACCAUUUCUUUAUAUCUGAAAUAUUCUUGGCUGUGUAUAAGAGGUGCUUGUCUAUCAACUUUUAGGUGCCUCAUGCCCAAACUCCUGAGAAAUUGGGUACCAGUGACACAGUUAAUGGUGUGAUGAUUGUAACGAGUGUGCCAGGUCCAGCUGUACCUGUGAAAGGAGAAGGAAGGACAAUCCCAUUUUAUUUUAGUGGAUACAGAAGUACUACAGUUGUGCAUGAGCGUUCCUUGGGAUAUGGAAAAGGACUUUCAGUUCCCUUCAGGUAAAGUGAUUUUCCUGAGACAAAUCAGACUUUCUGUGCUGUUCUGACAUUCCUGGGUGAAGGGCCUUUGCUGAUUUUUAGGAGAUAAGGGCACAUAUAAAUGUUCUUCUGUUGCUUGCAGGACGAAGGCCUGUGCUGUACCUUUAUAUUCAGGAAAGAAACUGAGCUAUCAGUGCAAUUAUUAUUUAUCUGCAUUUGUUUUCAGAGAUUAUCCAGUCUUCUUUGAGUCAAUGGCAAGAAAUAUGAGAUUAAAGUCUUUCUGUGCAAACAAUCAGUAAUAUUUCCCACUGGUUGCUUUUUUCAUCUAAAUAUGUAUUUCCUUGGUAGUAACAAGAACAAACAAAAU